This is a long non-coding RNA of Etheostoma cragini (Arkansas darter), 145 nucleotides long. RefSeq lists it as uncharacterized. Lineage: Eukaryota; Metazoa; Chordata; Actinopteri; Perciformes; Percidae. The record is from RefSeq and is a predicted model, not a curated record. The transcript is spliced from 3 exons.
AAUGCUGGCCACAGAAAUCUGACCCAUGCUACACAUGGGGAAGUCGUAGGGGUUGGUCGUGAUGAGUGCCACAAUAAGUAUCCCAGGGAUGUGGCCGGUCAUCAUCUGGAAGAAGAUGUGGUAGCCUCUUUCAUCAGAAAGCUGG